GACGAACGCUGGCGGCGUGCUUAACACAUGCAAGUCGAACGGAAAGGCCCUGCUUUUGUGGGGUGCUCGAGUGGCGAACGGGUGCGUAACACGUGAGUAACCUGCCCUUGACUUUGGGAUAACUUCAGGAAACUGGGGCUACUACCGGAUAGGAGCUCCUGCUGCAUGGUGGGGGUUGGAAAGUUUCGGCGGUUGGGGCUGGACUCGCGGCUUAUCAGCUUGUUGGUGGGGUAGUGGCUUACCAAGGCUUUGACGGGUAGCCGGCCUGAGAGGGUGACCGGCCACAUUGGGACUGAGAGACGGCGCAGACUCCUACGGGGGGCAGCAGUGGGGAAUAUGGCACAAUGGGCGGAAGCCUGAUGCAACAACGCCGCGGGCGGGAUGACGGCCUUCGGGGUGUAAACCGCUUUCGCCUGUGACGAAGCGUGAGUGACGGUAAUGGGUAAAGAAGCACCGGCUAACUACGUG
Molecule: ribosomal RNA, 468 nt
Filed under: uncultured bacterium
Lineage: Bacteria
Description: partial 16S ribosomal RNA
Rfam family: Bacterial small subunit ribosomal RNA
Source: RNAcentral